GAUGAACGCUAGCGGCAGGCUUAAUACAUGCAAGUCGAGGGGGCAGCAAUGUCACCGGCGAACGGGUGCGUAACACGUAUGCAACCUACCUAUAUCAGGGGGAUAGCCCGAGGAGACUCGGAUUAAUACCGCAUAACAUUAGGAUCGGCAUCGAUUUUAAUUGAAAGAUUUAUUGGAUAUAGAUGGGCAUGCGUAGGAUUAGCUAGUUGGUAAGGUAACGGCUUACUAAGGCUACGAUCCUUAGGGGCUCUGAGAGGAGUAUCCCCCACACUGGCACGGAGAUGCGGGCCAGAAUCCUACGGGAGGCAGCAGUAGGGAAUAUUGGGCAAUGGGCGAAAGCCUGACCCAGCCAUGCCGCGUGCAGGAAGACGGCCCUCUGGGUUGUAGACUGCUUUUGAAUGGGAAGAAAGGUAUGCUUGCGAGCGUAAUUGACGGUACCAUUAGAAUAAGCCACGGCUAACUACGUGCCAGCCGCCGCAGUAA
This 483-nucleotide ribosomal RNA is filed under the name uncultured bacterium. RNAcentral describes it as "partial 16S ribosomal RNA". It matches the Rfam family "Bacterial small subunit ribosomal RNA", at positions 28 to 523 of the family's 1533-position model. The record is from RNAcentral.